This is a long non-coding RNA of Microplitis mediator, 558 nucleotides long. RefSeq lists it as uncharacterized. The record is from RefSeq and is a predicted model, not a curated record. The transcript is spliced from 3 exons. Lineage: Eukaryota; Metazoa; Arthropoda; Insecta; Hymenoptera; Braconidae.
AUGGAGAUUGUACAAUAAUACCAAAUACUAUUUGUUCUGAUGAUAAAAUAUGUGACUGUGUGAAAAAUUAUAUCGCUAAAGAUGAACAAACGUGUUUACCAGUAAUUGGUGGAUUUUGUUCAAAUGAUAGCCAAUGUCGUAAUAGCGCAUUUCAGUGUAUUGAUAAUACGUGUGAAUGUAAACCUAAUUUUUCAUCUGUAUCAGCCAGCCAAUGCGUAAUACUACAUCAAAAUCAUCAAUGUAGUGAGGACUUGGAUUGUGGUGAUCCCUGGCAUUCACAAUGUUCGACUGAUCAUAAAUGUAUCUGCAGAAUUAAUAACAUUUCGAUAAAUAACUGGACAUGUUCUCCACUUAUAAAUGGGUAUUGUUGGAAAAAUGACCAAUGUGUUGUUGAGUACUCGGUUUGUAACGAUUUCCGUUGUAAGUGCAAACCUAACUUUAUACGCGUAACCAAUAAUUUAUGUUUACGAGCGUAAUUCACAAUGGGACAUAGAAUAUUUAACUGACUUUGUGUUAUUAUUAAGAAUGUAAAAUUUAUAAAAAUAUAUGAAUUCGCAC